Molecule: long non-coding RNA, 8410 nt
Filed under: Heterocephalus glaber (naked mole-rat)
Lineage: Eukaryota; Metazoa; Chordata; Mammalia; Rodentia; Bathyergidae
Description: lncRNA (ENSHGLG00000038088.1)
Source: RNAcentral
CCCUGUUUCAAAACCACAGGUCUUCCAGAACACUUUGUUGAUGACUUUCAUGAUUACAUGUCUGUGCCUGAAGCCAGUUCUCCCUCAAACUGUUCCCCCUCAAGUUCUAGCCACUCUGAUUCUACAUUUGUUUUAAAUUCUAAGGUAUAAAAUAACCAGAAAAAAACUGGCCAAGAGCAACAUUUUUUCACCAUCUGUACUGAGACUAAACCAAACCAAGAAAUAGUUUAACGCCUCUCCCUAUCAUGGGUAUGAGCACACUGAAGAGAUGAAAAUCAGGGCAUCUUGGAGUAAUGAAAAUUAUGUAAUCUACUUUAAGUCAGAAAUUGUCAUACUGAUUGCAUCUCAUGGCUUUUCUUUCUUUUUCUUUUUUUGUUUUGUUUUGUUGUUUUCUUCUUCCCAGCAUUCCUUUAGUGUCUUUGGAACUAUUAUUCUCCUGGCCACAUAUUGGGAGAUGCUCCACAAAAGUGUCCUUUGGCCUAGAGUAGUAGCACACACCUGUAAUCCCAGCACUCUGGUAGGCUGAGGCAGGAGGAUCACAAGGUGAAUGAAGCCUAAAACUGGUUAAAAAGGGCCAGAGAUAUUGCUCAGCCUGAAAGGCUCUGAGUUCUUCCAGCAGUAUUGCAAACAAAAGCAAGAACUGUUGUUUGCAAUUAAUGUAGAAAAGGCUUUAAUUUGAAGAUUCAGUUGAUAAAUGGUGAGUUGGAUGGGGACUGUAGGACAUAGCAGUAAACACGUGGGAAAGGAGAGACAACCACUUCUCUGAGAGCUUUGGUGAACCUCAGUGAUUCUGGGCAUGGGAAGUAGAGGAGGAACUUUCAACAUGAGCCCGAGUUUCACACCAAGAUUCUGGAAAGACUGUCCUAUACGUGACAAAUUCAACAUACCAGUUGCUUUAUGAAAAAUAAACCAUCCCUUUUAUUUUUACUCUCUUAAAAGAGCUAUGGGAGCUUAGUGGAUGGUUUCUGCAAUUGUUGUUUUGACCCUGAGAUGGCAUGAAUUUAGCAGAGUUGACAAUCUCCAGCACUCUGCUAGCUACAAAUGGACCCUUAUGGAGGAAGCACCACAGUCAUUGAGCUGGAUGUUUCUGGUCCUUUCUCUUUUUUUUGGUGCGUUCUUCACUCAUGUGCUGUGGCUUGCGUACAGAGGAAACAACCCCUCUACCAGUCUGGAAAUCUCACCAGAAGCUCAGAGUGCAGUCUGGCAAAGAGAAAUCAAGUGCACACCAGCCACAGGCACUGUGCAAAUGCCCCCUCUUUAUCCAGACAGGGAUUCUGCUUUCUGCCUCCAGCCAGGACACUUCUGGAGAGCUGGCUACAGGGAUGGAGAUAAACUCUGUCUUGUCCUUGCUCUUUCUCCUGUAUCAGCGGAUAGAGUAGAACCUCUGGGAAUUGUUCAGGCAUGCUGGGCCCGUGAACUGUCACACCGACUGCAUUUCCUUUGGCUGGGUUUCCUCACCUGACACUAGCAACAGACCAGAAGUCUCCUUUGACAAAAUGGAGAUGCCAGUGGGCCUCUGACCAGGUGCCCGAACUCAUUCCCUCUGGCAGAGCAUCUCACAAACACCCCCGAAGCAAUCAGAAAGGGUUCAAAGGAGCCAGGAUUUUAGCAUCGUGAAAAGCAUCCCUGGGAUGCUGUGUUCUCUCGCCAGCCACCAUGUCUCAUGCGGGAAGGAGCUGGUGCCUUGGAGAAGGUGUGUUGCUGUUUAUAAGGCGAGAGGUGUGCUCUGCCUUCCUGCCUCCAGAUUUGUGCGUGAUGUCACUUGGGUUAAGAUGCAGCCCACCACAAGGGGACUGGCACGUAGUCUGGCAUUUUUGUGGCAGCUUUGUCUGUGGUCACAACAUAGAAGGUCUACUUCAUGGUGCUUAUCACUGUGUAUUAUGGAUUUAAAUUGGUGGAAUGCUCCAUAGCUAUAGCGAAGGAGAAAACAACACUUCCAAAUAAUUGACUAGUGAAUGAGAUUUAUUGUAUAUGGAUAGCAUUCUCCCCUACUUGUCUCUUUCUCCCGCCUCUCCAUCCUCCCUCAUGGAAAAUUACAGUAGGAUUCUGUCCCGCUCCACUUUAUUUGAACAAUGACAGAGUGCCACCUGCGAUACGUACCUCCCUACUACCGAUAUGCCGCCAUCUACAGUAAUGAGAUUCCUCUUCUGAACAGAAGAAAUGAAGGGCGACGUCUAGCUGCUUUCACUUCUCUAGAGAUCCUCAGACCAAUUUUAACAUCUGGCAUCGGAUCAUGGCUUGAAAAAUGAUUGGGUUUUCUGUGAGCAGCCUUCUCCUGAUUUUGCACAUUUCCCUACUCCUCAGAGACACUUCAGAAUUCAAGAAACGAAAUGAUGAUCUUUUCACGUAUGUGUGAUUUUUAAAAAACUUUUGUCUUUUUUCUAAGAAUGGCAAUUUUCCAGGGAACACACACACACACACACACGCACACACACGCACACUCAUACACAUCUCUAUCCAUCCACUUAUGCAUAUGUGUGUAUAUUUAUGAAUAUAUAAAUAUAUGUAUGGAUACAUGUGCACAAAUACAAGAUGUGUCUAUAUAUUUGUGUGCACACACAUUUAUUUAUAAGUGUGCAAUUAGAAUGGAGGCAAAUAAAUCAGAUGCCUGGAAGACAUGAUUGCAAAUGAAUUUUCCAGAAUAUUUCACUGAUUUUCCCCUUUAUCUUUUUUGGUUUUGCUAAAGGGGCGCAUUAUUAUUGUCAGAUGAAUAAUCAGGUGACCGUGUCUUUUAUUUUUGUAUUUAAUACACCAUACGUACAUUGGAUUAACCUCUUUCUCUGUCUGUCUGUCUGUCUGUCUUUCUCACUCUCUCUCACCCUCCAUAUCUCCUCCAGAGGGUGACUGUCACAGACCUCAGCUAUUCUAAUGCCAAUUUUGUCAUAAAGGUGCAUUGUUGUGGGUGUAUAAACCCACAUUUAUUCUUUAGAAUAUUUCUAUUGAUGAAUUAUUAAUUUUAAUUUUGUGAGUUUGAUUAUAUCAAAAAGUGCUUAACAGGAAAAAAUAAAGUAUUGAAUUUUUAAUAUUUAUUGAGUGUUUAUAUAAAAGCAUCAAAAUUUUCAACUUUGACUUUUUUUGGCACACAAUAUCUGAAAAAUAACAACAGAAAUAAAUUCCUAUAUGAACUAUGUGGAAAAUACCAAUAGAACUCUAUAAUAAAAAACAAUGUUUGCUUCAGUUGCCACACCCAAGGCAGUCUUCAUACAUGACAACUGCAUGUUCCAUGCAUGUGUCUUGCUUACAGUGACAGCACAUGUACUUAGCUUUUCUUUCCUGUGAAGCAGGACAUUCUUAUCACCUCUCUUGUCUUCCUCUUUUGUGAGGAGCUUCUUACUAUAUUUUACAAUGUGCACUUAGCAUGAAAAUAAGAUAUCAAUAAAAUAAAAUAUCAAAUAUAUAAAGAGUGCUUAGAAUAGACAUCAACAUUUUCACAUCAGCUGUUUAGUACUUUACAAAACCUAAAAGAUAGCAUCAGAAAUAAAAACCUAAGUAGGCUGCAAUGUGAAUAUAAACAAAAGUCUACUAUAGAAAUAGUCUUUGCUUUGACUGUCACACCCAAAGCAAUCUUCACACAUGAAAACCGCAUGUUCCAUAUGCAAGUAUCACUUACACUGAUUGCAUGUAUGUUUUGUUUUCCUGUUCUUUUUUGUAAGGCAGGGUUGACAUCUUUUUUAUUUUCCUUUCAUUGUAGGUCUUUGGGAUGCUGCGCCUGCUUGUUCACUUGUCAGGUCAACAGUGUGCUCCACAGUUUUUUUUGCAUAUUCCCCUGGGCAGAAACAUUUUGUUUUUCCUUUGCUGUAAAUGAUCUCUUAAGAGUUCCAUUCCCAAUCCUCUAAGAAGAUUUUGCACUUGUUAUUUUCUUUGUUAACUAUCAAAUGAUGUAUGCCACACACAUUUAGGAUCGAGUGAAACACAACCAUUGCCCAACACUUCGUGUUUUGAGUGACAUCAUAGUUGCUGUGUAACUCAUCCACAACAUCUAUUCCACCUUUGGUUUUGUUGUGGGAUGUUUCCAUCUCAGGCUUCUGUUUUGUCGAUGUUUUCCUAUCCAUAUUUCCAUCAUGGUGUAGUGUUGACAUCAGCAGUACCAGUUUGUUUUUCUUUGACAUACACGAGGCCGACGUUAUAUCUUUCUGAAAACCAAAGAUUGUACUAUACAAGUCCCCAUUUUGAAAUUGCAAUAUUUCACUUGGAGUUUCUGCUUUGUUGCUGUGUACAGUUUCUAUGCUGGUCAACUUGUGCUCUGUUAGCAAAUAUAACAUCAACUGGAAACUGGUAAACCAAUCGUCAGGUGUCAUGUUCCAAUUAGUUUGGGAGAUGGGAGCAACAAGUCUAUGCACAACAUCAUUUGGUUUAUUACUAUAUGAAUAAAGACCUGGUGGCUGAGUUCCAGGAUAAAUUUCUAAAUCGCAUCUACAAAGUCAUACAUUUUUAUGCCAUAUUUUGAAAUGCUUUUUUGGCAUAUACUGCCUGAAGCUACAGUGACCACUAAAUGCUGCAAGAUGUUCAAUAGUCACGUAUUCAGAUAGUGUGUAAAUUGUUUGGCAAUUACCCACAAACCUCUCAAACAAUGAACAGAUAGCAGCCAGAUUAUCAGUUCUUUUUCUUUUUUUGGCAAGUGGUUUUUUCAUCAAAUCUCAGACAGUUUUGAAGGAAACCAAAUCUCCUCAGUGUCACUGUUAUUCUACAAACCACAAGCCUAUACCCAUCACUUUUCCAUAAGUCUUUUACAUUCUUGCCAUUACAAUGAGGAAGCCCUGCAAAGUACAGCAGACCUAUGAAUGCUUUCAGUUCAGCUAGUGUAAUAAAUACAUUUUUGUUCACAAGCUCAAGGUCCUGAGUUUUGAUCCCUGGUACAAGAAAAACCAUUUUUGAGUAUGGCUACUGGUGCAGAGAAUGUUUUCCUUGUAUUUCAGAAUUUGUGUAUUUCACAACAUCUUCUAGCAUUUUGUCUGUUACAAUUUCCAACAUUAAAUGGCAGUGCUGGCAUUCUGUCCAGUAGCUUUCACCCCUGCCAAGGUCCUCACUAUAUUUUUGAAUCUAGUUCUAAUACUGGAGCAUUCCAUUUGGUUCUGUGACUAUUUUGUGCCAUUUUGACUAGUCAAAUAUGUACUCACAUUGCUGUUUUCUUCAUCAUCUGAAUCAUCUGAAUCUCCAUUAUCUGAAUGGUCUUCAUUCUCUUGUCUAUAUAGGUGGAUUCUUGCUCCAUUUUACUGUCACAGCAUCUUUGGCUUAGAUGGCCAAUGUCCAAGGCAUUAUCAUCUUCAUCAUCCUUGCAGGAGUAAUGUGAUGAUUCACUUUUGACCUCCACCCAAACUUGUGAAUCUGGUUUUUCAUGUGCCAUUGUACUGAAUUGGGCUACCUCUACCAGAGAAAUCAAAAGAAAACUUAAAAAAAAAAUCAUAAGUGCACAGAAAUUUAACAAUGAACAUUUUGUGGGUAAAAUUCACCUGUUGCUGCUUUGGAGCUCCUGUACACACUUUGGUGUCCAUCUGCUAAGUGUGUGAAUGCACAGAUGAGUUUCUGCUUUCCCCAGGUGCAGCUACUGGAGUCACACCCACAUUCCAUUAUAGUAAAGUACAUGUUUUCAUAACAGAAGAGUGGUGUGGGUAUUUUUCACCCCCUGUGAUGCUCAGGUAAGCAUAGGCAAAACCUAUUAGCUGAAGUAUUAGGUGAGUAAAAAUUCCAGUUUGACACCUUCAUACAUGCACACACCUUGCCGUUCAUCAUACCAAGUGGGCAAACACAAAGACUACUUCCUGUAUCCCCCAAGCAUAGCUACUGAGAUGCACAGCUGCCUACUAUUAUGCUAAAGCACAAACUCAGAGUAGAAAAGAAUGGGAUGGGUUGUUGUAACUCAAUGGUAUGCCCUAUUGUAUAUAUGGCAACCACAAAUGUAUAUUGGCAAUGCAUCUUCAGAGAAAUCCUAAAGAAGAUUUCUAUUUUUUCUCUCCUUCAGAUAUCAUGAACGAAUACAUUAUGAGACUACAAAGUAUGAGGGUGUAAAAUUUUGAAUAAUGUUGUUUGUCAGGAAAAAUUCUUAACACCACCAUUAUUCUUAUUGAUUUCCCUUUCCUUUGUGAACUUUCUGUUUGUAGGUGCUGUCUGCAAGGUUGAAAUCCAUAGGUAAUUUAUCAUUUAGAUUAAUUAAAAACUCCACUCCUGUGGAUUUCUUUAGGUUGUGUGAAAAAUGGAUGUUGGCCAAAAUUUCAACUUUUUGGUUUAAAGACAGUAAUUUUUCACCUUAGAACAUUGUCAGUAACAACCACCCCCAGCGUUUUCAGCCUUGCAUGUGAUCAAUCCUGCUUUUUAUAAUGAUUGCUGCUGUAACAGAAGUUAUUUGCCAAAUGGAUAUGAAGUUCUUGAACCAAGAUACACUUCCAUUUCCUGCCCAGAGUGUGAUGACCAGAGCGUGUAUUGAAAGUGUUUGCAGAAACAUGCGUAGUCUCGUGAAUUUAAAUUCACAUUGCUUGGUGACAUUGGGGGCGUCAACAGAUUUAUCCUUUCAGAACCCUAACCUUCAUUUGUUGUUUUUAACUUUUUUCAUACCUGCAGUACUUUUGCUCCAAAGCAGGAGCUCAGAGAAACUUAUGAAUGGUUGCACUGUUGGUGUCAGCUGGGGAUAGUUCUAAGUUUCCCCAGCACCCACACUUGCCAAAAUAACAAAAGGCAUAGACGUCAGACUUCUACAAACUGGCUUAGUAUUUUCACAUACCUUAUACAUAUCCUCCUGUAUGCUUUGAAUCUCCUGUAGAUUAUUUAUAACACUUCCUAACACAAUGUCAAUGCCAUGUCUAUUUGACUUGGGUGGCGGGUGUGUAUUACCUUACUGUGAAAUACUCUCCCAAAUGAUGGAAAGAUGUGACACAAUUCUAUCAGAAUUCCUUCUACCUUUUGUACAACAGUUGAUCGUGGCAAAUCCCAUGUGUUACAAUGUGGAUGAACCUCAAAAAUAUCAUGCUAAAUGAAAGAAACCAUACAUGAAAGACCCUAUAUUGUAUGAUCCUGUGUAUAUGAAAUAUCUAGAAAAAAAUUCAUAGCAAUAGAAAGUAAAAAGUUAAAGGGAUAGGGAAAUGACUGUUAGAGGGCAUGGAACUUCUUUUGAGGAAUGAUGAAAAUAUUACAUUUCAAUAAUUUGUUAUUUUUUAAAUAUACAAAAGAGGAGAAAGAAUAAGAAAGAACUGGUUAAAUUGAUAAGGAAUUACUUCCAGAAUAUACUUUUUGGUUAACAAUGUAAAGUGUGGUCAACUGGAAGCAAUCAGAAUGCCCAUAAUUGGUAGAGAUGAACGAGUCACCAUCUAGCCACUUAACAUGCAAAACAAAAUAGAAUAGGUUAUAUGUUUGGAAGGGAAAUGGCUCAGGAAUGUAGAGUACUCUAUGGGAAGAUACAAAUACAAGGCUAAUAAGCUGGGUUGGUUUUAUUCUUGUGCUAAAGACAAAAUCACCCAGCAUUUUACAAUCUUUUGUUUAUUCUAAGGACUCACAGGAAGGUCCUUCUUUGUAUUCACUAAUCAGCAUGUUAAGUUCUCCUUUCCUUCCCAGAAACCAUGGUAGCUUCAUGGAAGAUUUCCUCCUGGGUCACUUAAUACAUGAUGGAGGGAACUCAUUGACUUGGUGUUGUACGUUUUUGAAUAAAUGAAAUCUCCUGUAGAGAAAAUUGGGCGUCUAAAGGUGAUGUUCCUGCCUUGGACCCAUGGAUUCACUCCAUCUUUGUCAUUCUAUCUCUGGUGGACAUUGAACUUUAUAAAAUGUGAUAAAAAGUACUUUUAGUCUUGGAAGGAGCAAACUGGACUGUCUGAAAAACAACUUUUUAAGUGAAAACGGGAACUUUUGGUGGAGAUCCACUGUUUCCAAAACCUUGAAGGAACAAAGGUUGCCACUCGCCAGCACCUGGGGAGUCAAUAUGCGUCUAUCAGCUCUUGACUUUGGGCCCAGUGCACCUUCUUGAUCCUGAUUACUGCAGACACCUUCUGAUUCAUCUUCCACAAACCGAGUAUUCGCAGCCCAACUGUUCAGAUGAACCUUAAAUAUGUUUCUGAACCCAGCCAAACUGACAAUCAAGAUGAACAAACAUGGUAAUUGAUUCAAGACCAAUAUCAAUCCAUUCUGAAGGUGACAACACAAUGACCAAAUUUCCUCAACUGGCCUCACCAAGGAAAGAGCCUAACACCUCUUAACAUUAUCACAUCGAGGUUUGAGCUUCCAGCAUAUGAAUGUUUAGGCAAGAAUCGUUUAAUGUCUGUCACUUGAUAAAAUCAGGACCACCCAGGAUAAUCCACCUUUUGAUGAAUUAAAAAAAUCAAUAUACAUGGAAUCUUAACAAAAUAUGCUGAAACAUUUCACCUUCAACCUAUUCUGAUGAUUAACCAGUAUUGGUCUAGUCCAGUCUUGGGAGGAGGCAAUUAGGUUG